Non-coding RNA from Camellia sinensis, 762 nucleotides. Lineage: Eukaryota; Viridiplantae; Streptophyta; Magnoliopsida; Ericales; Theaceae. The record is from RefSeq and is a predicted model, not a curated record.
UCUAACAUAAGGUUUGGUCCUAGAUAUUUGAAGUGGGUGAUAUAACCCUGUUGAAUGAGACAAAAGAUGUUGGUGCCACAAAUCGUCGCCAACUUGCUGCUUUGUAUUGUGGUUCUAACUCAGGAUUUGAGCUUAUUCACGGCCUGGUCGACAGAAUCAUGGAAGUAAUUGGGACACCAUUUGUAAAACCUGGGGAUAAUGCAGGCUACUAUAUUGAACGUGCAGAUGAAUCUGAGUUUCUUCCUGGUAGACAAGCUAGAAUUAUUUUCAAAGGGAAGUGCAUAGGUGCUUUUGGUAUUGUGCAUCCAGAGGUGCUGAACAACUUUGGUAUUCCUGAUCCAUGCUCCUUUGUGGAACUUAACAUCGAGAGUUUCUUGUAGGGGUCAGUCUCAUUAUAUCAAAUGUACAUUGGACGAGUGGUACUUCCACAUAUGGGUUCUUUUUGAUUGGGUUUGCAGAGAAGUACAUCUGUCAGAAAGAAAUUUGUUGGCCCUCAUGUUAGCAAAUACUCACAAACCUAUAUUUCUAGGUUAUUAAGCCAAAAUCAAAGGCAAUAGUCAAAUUUUUGUACCCAGGACUUAAAUCUCAUUAGAAAGCUUAACAUUGAGGAUCUUUGAUGAACGUUUUCCAUUUUUUUUGUGUUAUUUCAUUGAGAGAGAUAUGAUCACUAAUUAAUAACAAUGAGUAUACCCAUCUGCAAAUGACAUUCAAAUGUUCUUCGAAGGGCAUUAAUCUGCUGCUUCAUAGAUUACUCUUGAAGAA